RNAcentral lists this ribosomal RNA (410 nucleotides) under uncultured bacterium. RNAcentral describes it as "bacterial SSU rRNA". It matches the Rfam family "Bacterial small subunit ribosomal RNA", at positions 335 to 762 of the family's 1533-position model. The record is from RNAcentral.
ACUCCUACGGGAGGCAGCAGUGGGAAUAUUGCACAAUGGGCGCAAGCCUGAUGCAGCAACGCCGUGUGAGUGAAGAAGGUUUUCGGAUCGUAAACUCUGUCCUAAGGGAAGAAACAAAUGACGGUACCUUAGGAGGAAGCCCCGGCUAACUACGUGCCAGCAGCCGCGGUAAUACGUAGGGGCGAAGCGUUAUCCGGAAUCACUGGGCGUAAAGGUGCGUAGGCGGCUUAGCAAGCCAGGGUGAAAGGCAUUGGCUCAACCAAUGUAAGCCUUUGGAAACUGUUAGGCUUGAGUGCAGGAGAGGUAAGUGGAAUUCCUAGUGUAGAGGUGAAAUUCGUAGAUAUUAGGAGGAACACCAGUGGCGAAGGCGACUUACUGGACUGUAACUGACGCUGAUGCACGAAAAGCGU